GAAAAUAUUUUCAAAAUUUAUUUGGAUGCUACCAUGAUUGGUUGCAUCCAAAUAAUGGAUAAUCAUUAAAACAUUGUGAAUAAUGAUGAGUGAGAACUUUAUUGAUAAUGGUGGGAGGUUAACAUGCUAAUCUUCUGCGUUAUUGGUAAUGGUGGGAGGUUAACAUGCUACUCUCCUGCGUUAUUGGUAAUAGGGAGAGGUUAACAUGCUAAGCUCCUGCGUUAUUGGUAAUGGGGAGAGGUUAACAUGCUAAUCUCCUGCAUUAUUGGUAAUGGGGAGAGGUUAACAUGUUAAUCUCCUGCGUUAUUGGUAAUGGGGAGAGGUUAACAUGCUAAUCUCCUGCAUUAUUGGUAAUGGGGAGAGGUUAACAUGCUAAUCUCCUGCGUUAUUGGUACAACCAUCAGCUGUUGAUUUUCUAUGUUUUAAUAAAUUAGUAAACAAUGAUUCAUCUUAUUCUUCUCAUCAUCCUCACUUCUCUUAGCCCAUGACAGAAAGGUAGGAGGGGAAGCGUUUCCAUUCCUCCAUCUCUCCCUCCAUCUCUCCCUCCAUCUCUCUCCCAAUAUUUCCCUCAAUCUCUUCCUUUUCCUGCCUCUCCACAUUUCCCCGCUCCAGAUCCAAGCGGAGCAGGACGGUGUACUGUUCGUAGUCUGGUGAGGAGGGAGUGGGGGUGUUGGAGGUGGAGGAGGAGGGGGACGAGAAGUGGAGGCUCAGGGUGGAGCAUCGCUGUCGCUGGGAGGGAUCUCCCAAAGCCUCAUACUCCGCCUGAACCUUCGUCAGCAGCAACCCUUGGAGAUG
Long non-coding RNA from Esox lucius (northern pike), 795 nucleotides. Lineage: Eukaryota; Metazoa; Chordata; Actinopteri; Esociformes; Esocidae. The record is from Ensembl.